This 77-nucleotide transfer RNA is filed under the name Verrucomicrobia bacterium CAG:312_58_20. RNAcentral's name for it is "tRNA-His". It matches the Rfam family "tRNA". From Rfam's summary of the family: Transfer RNA (tRNA) molecules are approximately 80 nucleotides in length. Their secondary structure includes four short double-helical elements and three loops (D, anti-codon, and T loops). Further hydrogen bonds mediate the characteristic L-shaped molecular structure. tRNAs have two regions of fundamental functional importance: the anti-codon, which is responsible for specific mRNA codon recognition, and the 3' end, to which the tRNAs corresponding amino acid is attached (by aminoacyl-tRNA synthetases). tRNAs cope with the degeneracy of the genetic code in two manners: having more than one tRNA (with a specific anti-codon) for a particular amino acid; and 'wobble' base-pairing, i.e. permitting non-standard base-pairing at the 3rd anti-codon position. The record is from RNAcentral. Lineage: Bacteria; Pseudomonadati; Verrucomicrobiota. RNAcentral also lists the same sequence under 4 other names.
GUGGUAGUAGCUCAGUUGGUUAGAGCAUCGGAUUGUGGUUCCGAGGGUCGAGGGUUCGAGUCCCUUUUACCACCCCA